This 591-nucleotide ribosomal RNA is filed under the name Priestia megaterium. RNAcentral describes it as "bacterial SSU rRNA". It matches the Rfam family "Bacterial small subunit ribosomal RNA", at positions 74 to 649 of the family's 1533-position model. The record is from RNAcentral. Lineage: Bacteria; Bacillati; Bacillota; Bacilli; Caryophanales; Bacillaceae.
AGAAGCUUGCUUCUAUGACGUUAGCGGCGGACGGGUGAGUAACACGUGGGCAACCUGCCUGUAAGACUGGGAUAACUUCGGGAAACCGAAGCUAAUACCGGAUAGGAUCUUCUCCUUCAUGGGAGAUGAUUGAAAGAUGGUUUCGGCUAUCACUUACAGAUGGGCCCGCGGUGCAUUAGCUAGUUGGUGAGGUAACGGCUCACCAAGGCAACGAUGCAUAGCCGACCUGAGAGGGUGAUCGGCCACACUGGGACUGAGACACGGCCCAGACUCCUACGGGAGGCAGCAGUAGGGAAUCUUCCGCAAUGGACGAAAGUCUGACGGAGCAACGCCGCGUGAGUGAUGAAGGCUUUCGGGUCGUAAAACUCUGUUGUUAGGGAAGAACAAGUACAAGAGUAACUGCUUGUACCUUGACGGUACCUAACCAGAAAGCCACGGCUAACUACGUGCCAGCAGCCGCGGUAAUACGUAGGUGGCAAGCGUUAUCCGGAAUUAUUGGGCGUAAAGCGCGCGCAGGCGGUUUCUUAAGUCUGAUGUGAAAGCCCACGGCUCAACCGUGGAGGGUCAUUGGAAACUGGGGAACUUGAGUGC